RNAcentral lists this ribosomal RNA (422 nucleotides) under uncultured archaeon. RNAcentral describes it as "partial 16S ribosomal RNA". It matches the Rfam family "Archaeal small subunit ribosomal RNA", at positions 323 to 746 of the family's 1478-position model. The record is from RNAcentral.
CUACGGGGCGCUCCAGGCGCGAAACCUUUACAAUGCACGAAAGUGUGAUAAGGGAAUCCUGAGUGCUACAGUGUACGCUGUGGCUUUUGCCAAGAGUAAAUAUCUUGGAGAAUAAGUGGUGGGUAAGACUGGUGCCAGCCGCCGCGGUAACACCAGCGCCACAAGUGGGGAUCGGUUUUAUUGGGCCUAAAGCGUCCGUAGCAGGUUUGAUCAGUCCUCUGUGAAAUUGACCAACUUAAUUGGUCAGCGUGCAAGGGAUACUGUCAGACUAGGGACCGGAAGGAGUAUGCGGUAUUGUCGGGGGAGCGGUAAAAUGUUAUAAUCCCGAUAGGACCACCGAUGGCGAAGGCAGCAUACUAGGACGGAUCCGACUGUGAGGGACGAAAGCCAGGGGAGCGAACCGGAUUAGAUACCCUGUAGUC